AUUGAACGCUGGCGGCAGGCCUAACACAUGCAAGUCGAGCGGAUGAAGGGAGCUUGCUCCUGGAUUCAGCGGCGGACGGGUGAGUAAUGCCUAGGAAUCUGCCUGGUAGUGGGGGAUAACGUCCGGAAACGGGCGCUAAUACCGCAUACGUCCUGAGGGAGAAAGUGGGGGAUCUUCGGACCUCACGCUAUCAGAUGAGCCUAGGUCGGAUUCGCUAGUUGGUGGGGUAAAGGCCUACCAAGGCGACGAUCCGUAACUGGUCUGAGAGGAUGAUCAGUCACACUGGAACGGAGACACGGUCCAGACUCCUACGGGAGGCAGCAGUGGGGAAUAUUGGACAAUGGGCGAAAGCCUGAUCCAGCCAUGCCGCGUGUGUGAAGAAGGUCUUCGGAUUGUAAAGCACUUUAAGUUGGGAGGAAGGGCAGUAAGUUAAUACCUUGCUGUUUUGACGGUACCAACAGAAUAAGCACCGGCUAACUACGUG
Molecule: ribosomal RNA, 484 nt
Filed under: uncultured bacterium
Lineage: Bacteria
Description: partial 16S ribosomal RNA
Rfam family: Bacterial small subunit ribosomal RNA
Source: RNAcentral